UCGUUAAAGAUGUAUAUGUGUUCGCGAU
Molecule: small RNA, 28 nt
Filed under: Bombyx mori (domestic silkworm)
Lineage: Eukaryota; Metazoa; Arthropoda; Insecta; Lepidoptera; Bombycidae
Description: ovarian small RNA-7664
Source: RNAcentral